RNAcentral lists this ribosomal RNA (361 nucleotides) under uncultured Lactobacillus sp. RNAcentral describes it as "bacterial SSU rRNA". It matches the Rfam family "Bacterial small subunit ribosomal RNA", at positions 537 to 896 of the family's 1533-position model. Lineage: Bacteria; Bacillati; Bacillota; Bacilli; Lactobacillales; Lactobacillaceae. The record is from RNAcentral.
AGCGUUAUCCGGAUUUAUUGGGCGUAAAGGGAACGCAGGCGGUCUUUUAAGUCUGAUGUGAAAGCCUUUGGCUUAACCGGAGUAGUGCAUUGGAAACUGGGAGACUUGAGUGCAGAAGAGGAGGGUGGAACUCCAUGUGUAGCGGUGAAAUGCGUAGAUAUAUGGAAGAACACCAGUGGCGAAAGCGGCUCUCUGGUCUGUAACUGACGCUGAGGUUCGAAAGCGUGGGUAGCAAACAGGAUUAGAUACCCUGGUAAUCCACGCCGUAAACGAUGAAUGCUAAGUGUUGGAGGGUUUCCGCCCUUCAGUGCUGCAGCUAACGCAAUAAGCAUUCCGCCUGGGGAGUACGACCGCAAGGUUG